GACGAACGCUAGCGGUGGGCUUAACACAUGCAAGUCGAACGGAAAGGCCCGGCUUCUGUCGGGUGCUCGAGUGGCGAACGGAUGGGUAAGACGUGAGUAACCUGCCCUCGACUUUGGGAUAGCUUCAGGAAACUGAGGCUGACACCGGAUAGGAACGCCUGCUGCAUGGCGUGGGUUGGAAAGGUUCGGAGGUUGGGGAUGGACUCGCGGGUGACCAACUAGCUGGUGGGGUAGUGGAUUACCAAGGGAUGGACGGGUAGCAGGCCCGAGAGGGUGACUGGCCACAUUGGGACUGAGCUACGGCCCGGAGUCCUGCGGGAGGCAGCAGUGGGGAAUCUUGCACGAUGGGCGGAAGCCGCAUGCAGCAACGCCGCGUGCUGGAUGGUGACCUUCUGGUUGUAGGCCGCUUUCGGCUGUGACGAAGCGUGACUGCAGGUAAUGGGUAAAUAAGCACCGGCUAACUAUGUG
Molecule: ribosomal RNA, 468 nt
Filed under: uncultured bacterium
Lineage: Bacteria
Description: partial 16S ribosomal RNA
Rfam family: Bacterial small subunit ribosomal RNA
Source: RNAcentral